UGGGGGAUAUUGCACAAUGGGCGAAAGCCUGAUGCAGCGACGCCACGUGGGGGAUGAAGGCCUUCGGGUUGUAAACUUCUUUUGCUCUGAACAAGGCGCACCAUGGGGUGUGUUGAGUGUAGGGGUUGAUUAGCGCCGGCUAACUACGUGCCAGCAGCCGCGGUAAUACGUAGGGCGCGAGCGUUGUCCGGAAUUAUUGGGCGUAAAGGGCUUGUAGGUGGCUGGUUGCGUCUGUCGUGAAAGCUCAUGGCUUAACUGUGGGUUUGCGGUGGGUACGGGCUGGCUUGAGUGCAGUAGGGGAGGCUGGAAUUCCUGGUGUAGCGGUGGAAUGCGCAGAUAUCAGGAGGAAUACCGGUGGCGAAGGCGGCCCCCUGGACAAAGACUGACGCUCAGGUGCGAAAGCGUGGGGAGCAAACAGG
This 419-nucleotide ribosomal RNA is filed under the name Chloroflexota bacterium. RNAcentral describes it as "Chloroflexi bacterium partial 16S ribosomal RNA". It matches the Rfam family "Bacterial small subunit ribosomal RNA", at positions 355 to 776 of the family's 1533-position model. The record is from RNAcentral. Lineage: Bacteria; Bacillati; Chloroflexota.